GAUGAACGCUAGCGGCAGGCCUAAUACAUGCAAGUCGGACGGGAUUCAGGAGCUUGCUUCUGAUGAGAGUGGCGCACGGGUGCGUAACACGUAUGUAACCUACCUUUAUCAGGGGGAUAGCCUCUCGAAAGAGAGAUUAAGCCCGCAUAAAAUCACAGCACAGCAUUGUGUAAUGAUCAAAUAUUUAUAGGAUAAAGAUGGGCAUGCGGAACAUUAGCUAGAUGGCGGGGUAACGGCCCACCAUGGCGACGAUGUUUAGGGGAUCUGAGAGGAUGGCCCCCCACACUGGUACUGAGACACGGACCAGACUCCUACGGGAGGCAGCAGUAAGGAAGAUUGGUCAAUGGGCGGAAGCCUGAACCAGCCAUGCCGCGUGCAGGAAGACGGCCCUACGGGUUGUAAACUGCUUUUAUACGGGAAUAAACCCAGAUACGUGUAUCUGGCUGAAUGUACUGGAAGAAUAAGGAUCGGCUAACUCCGUG
RNAcentral lists this ribosomal RNA (482 nucleotides) under uncultured bacterium. RNAcentral describes it as "partial 16S ribosomal RNA". It matches the Rfam family "Bacterial small subunit ribosomal RNA", at positions 28 to 507 of the family's 1533-position model. The record is from RNAcentral.